Molecule: transfer RNA, 77 nt
Filed under: Halobacteriovoraceae bacterium
Lineage: Bacteria; Pseudomonadati; Bdellovibrionota; Bacteriovoracia; Bacteriovoracales; Halobacteriovoraceae
Description: tRNA-Val
Rfam family: tRNA
About the family: Transfer RNA (tRNA) molecules are approximately 80 nucleotides in length. Their secondary structure includes four short double-helical elements and three loops (D, anti-codon, and T loops). Further hydrogen bonds mediate the characteristic L-shaped molecular structure. tRNAs have two regions of fundamental functional importance: the anti-codon, which is responsible for specific mRNA codon recognition, and the 3' end, to which the tRNAs corresponding amino acid is attached (by aminoacyl-tRNA synthetases). tRNAs cope with the degeneracy of the genetic code in two manners: having more than one tRNA (with a specific anti-codon) for a particular amino acid; and 'wobble' base-pairing, i.e. permitting non-standard base-pairing at the 3rd anti-codon position.
Source: RNAcentral
AGGAAUGUAGCUCAGUUGGUUAGAGCGUCUGCCCGACACGCAGAAGGCCGGCGGUUCGAAUCCGCCCAUUCCUACCA